Long non-coding RNA from Cotesia glomerata, 606 nucleotides. RefSeq lists it as uncharacterized. The transcript has 3 exons. The record is from RefSeq and is a predicted model, not a curated record. NCBI's taxonomy places the organism in Eukaryota, Metazoa, Arthropoda, Insecta, Hymenoptera, Braconidae.
GGGUGCGUUCCACUAAGCGCUCACAACGAUCAAAAUGCUCCUUUAGUCGUUCCACAUAACGACCGCGGUCGUUGUGGUCGCGGCGAAAACGUCACUCAUGACGUCAUGACUAACGCUCACGCGAAGCUCACAACGACCCAUCUGAAAAGGUAGGUUGAAGUGAGCGUUGAGAAAAUUAGCGGCACUUUCAAAACUGAAAGCAACAAAAAUGGCGACCGUGAAACUUACAUUAUUUAAUGCGGAAAGAGAUAUUUUAGUAGAUGUGGAUGUUUCUGCAGCGGAUGCUCAACGUGCCUCAACAGAUACACUAUUUGCGACACAACUUUUGAACAAAGUUUUAAAUGAACAACCGCAAAUAUCAACGUCCGCUGAUCUUGCUGAUGAAAAUUUAUUAAUGAAAAUUAUUAGAUAAUGGAAGAAAUUUUUUCCAAAAAAGCUUGGUGUGAUCCAGUUGCUGUUGCAUCUUCCACAGGUCUAUCAAAAAAACAAUUAGAAAGUAAUGAUAGUAUGGGAGGAUCUGAUAGUGGAUGUUCAAUAAAAUCAAAUAAGACACCAAUUGCCACUUUAUUAGGAAAAAGACUGAAGCAAAAAGAAGAACAUGAACAA